Long non-coding RNA from Solanum pennellii, 3003 nucleotides. RefSeq lists it as uncharacterized. The record is from RefSeq and is a predicted model, not a curated record. NCBI's taxonomy places the organism in Eukaryota, Viridiplantae, Streptophyta, Magnoliopsida, Solanales, Solanaceae. The transcript has 3 exons.
GUUGUCACAUUUUCCAGGUGUUAUCAUCUUGGUGCCCCACUUGUCCUUGUUCAAGAUCGGAUGACUCCCUUCAUUUUCCCAUUGGAAAUUGGUACUCGUUCUUAGCUUGAAACCUUAUCCUCCAUUUCGAAUUUGAAUUUGUUGAAAUUCCAUUCCGAAUUUUCUCCCUAUUUUCUGCCCUAAUUUAAUUCUACAAAUACCUUCAAAUUUUUUCUCUUUGUGAAGGAGGGAAAAAAAGAGAGUGAGAAGGUUACGAAAAUGGAAAAAGUGGAGAAAAUUAUUAGUCAUAUACAUUAUAUAUGAAUACUUAGGAAACAGGUUUCAAAAUAGAUUGAAAAAUCCAGAUUUUACUCCCUUUGUUUACUGGUUCGCUUCUGUUUUCUUUAUCAAACUUCUCGGAGUUACAUUUUGGUGGUGGAAGCUUGCUGUCUUUGAUCAUUCAGUCUCGGUUCAGUUGCCCAGAAAAAGUCCUCUUCGACUACAAUUUUCUUCCCUCAUAUUCCGGAUGGGCCAUAAAGGUCCCAAAUCCCCUUUUUCCUUCGAGUCAGCCCCCUCGGCAAGCUGCAAAACUGAUGUACAAGUUGAGGUAGAUAAAUGUAGGCUGGAAAUUAAUUUUGCAGGUCUCAGAAAAGCCCAAAAGAAGGUAGUAUACAUGAAGUAGACAAUUGUGUACACAAGUAUACACGGAAAGAAUUGUUAUAUAUAGGUUUGAACUGACAAAACAGGUGCUGGAAGUCUGAAAUGGGCAGCGUACAUUCAGCAUACAUCCCAAUAUACAUGAAAACGAGUCAAAAUACGUAUCAUGUAUAUCCAUAUACGUUUGGUGUGUACACAGAUUUUAAGUGUGAAAAAGAAGGAAUAUAGGCCAAAAAUCCAAGGAAAUUUCCAGCAGGUCCAUUAGCAGGAAUUUGGGCAAUGGCCCAAAAUUGACAUCUCCCUCUUUCCUCCCUAUUUAUUUGUUAUUAUAAUGACUAACAUUACUUGAUUGAUUUUGGUUAAUUUAAUUUUAUUUUCAAGAUAAUAAUUUCUCUUUAUAUUCAAAAACACAAAUUUUAAUUUUUUUGUUACUUCUUUUUUUAUUUUAAUUUGUCCUGUCAAUACUUAUGAAUUAUUUUCUUUUAAGAAAUUCCCCCUAUUUCUUUUCCCCUCAAUAUAUUAGAAUCAUAAAUUAAGUAAAAUAAAUAAAAAAUUUUGAAUUUACUUAACUUAGUAAAAAUUUGAAAAUCAUUGAAAAGUCAUUUUUAGUCAAAUCGUCGGUCAACCGCGAGUUAACACGCAUUCCGAGGGCCUAACACCUUCUCGGAAUGUAUAUUGAAAUUUGAACCAUCUUUCAAUCUAUUUUUAUCUGUUUUAAAUUUUUUUAAAAUAAUUGUAAGUUUUCUUAAUUUUUACUAAAAAAUCAAGUGGCGACUCUGUUAAUUUGGAAAGUUGAUUUUUCUUAAAAUCAUAACAUUAAUUAAUUUUUCAAAACUUAGUCAGUUUUUCAUUUCUAUUAUCACAUAUUUUAAGUAAAACAGUCAUCAUAGAUAGGAUGACCAAGUCAGCCCACUUUAUUCCCAUCAAAGCUUCAUAUUCGGUGGAAGACUAUUCCAAUAUAUAUAUUAAGGAUAUAUUGAGGAUGCAUGGGGUUCCCUUGUCCAUAAUUUCGGAUAGGGGUACUCAAUUAACUUCUCACUUUUGGAAGGCUUUCAAAAAUGGGCUUGGUACUAAAGUGAAACUUAGUACUGCAUUUCAUCCCCAAACGGAUGGUCAAGCGGAAUGUACCAUCCAAACCAUAAAAGACAUGUUGAGGGCAUCUGUUAUUGACUUCAAGGGUAAUUAGGAUGAUCAUCUACCUUUGAUAGAUUUUGCGUACAAUAAUAACUACCACUCAAGUAAUUCCAUGGCUCCAUUUGAAGCACUUUAUGGGAGAAGAUGUAGGUCUCCUAUUGGGUGGUUUGAAGUAGGUGAGUUUGCACUUAUCGGUCCCAAAAUAUUUUACGAGGUCGUUAAGAAAGUCUGACUUAUUAGAGAUAGGUUGAAGACGACCCAAAGUCAGUAAAAGUCUUAUGCCCAUAAUAGAAGGAGGGAUCUUGAAUUUGAGGUAGGUGAUUGAGUCUACUUGAAGAUUUCAUCCAUAAAAAGGGUAAUGAGGUUUAGCAAAAAGGGGAAACUUAGUCCCUGGUAUGUAGUCCCAUAUGAGUUGGCUCCGUUUCACCAGGCAUUCCAUGAUUCCAUGCUCAAGAAAUGCAUAGGUUAUCCAGUGUCCAUCCUUCCUUCAGAAGGAUUAGAAGGUUAUGACCUUUCUUAUGAAAAGGUUCUGGUUGAGAUUUCAAACCGGCAAGUAAAGAGAUUGAGGAAUGAAGAGGUAGCUUCCGAAAAGGUUUUAUGGAGGAACCAUCUAGCUGAGAGUGAUACAUGGGAGGCUGAGGCCGACAUAAUGUCCCCUUAUCCUCAUCUUUUCCAUCCUAUUUCUAUUCAAACUUGAGGAAAACUGACCAAAACAGAAAUGCAGAAGACUGUGCUGAAAUCAGUGCAGAAGUGAUGACCUACGGAACCAUCGAUGGCCCGUCGACCCAUCGAUGGUCCGUAAGUGGUGAUCGUCGACUGGAGGUUUAAGCUACUGAAAUCAAAUCGAGGAAUUCUGACUAAGUAUGGGUCUACAGAAGGAUCGACAGUUCGUAAGUCCAGUGACGGACCAUGUUGUUGGUCCGUCGAUUGUAACAGAAAGGAUGCAAAAGUGGAGGCUGAAAAAGAUUCUAAGUGUGGACGGACGGAGGUAGUGAUGGACCGUUAGUUGGGUCGUCAACUGAAGAUGCAUUUUGGACAGAUAUUUUCUUAUUUAGAACUCCUUUUAUUUUAGGACUUUAUUACUAUAAAUAGGACUAAAAAUCUCGUUUUUGGGGUUAGAAUUUUUUGUUAGAAUUUUUAUUAUUUUUCAUACUCUUGUUAUUGGAAGUUGAACUUUGGAUUUUGGGAAUUACUUCAAGUUUUCGAAAUCGAUUCUUAAGAUAUUUUCGUUAA